CAGCCGUAAACUAUGCGCGUUAGGUGUAUCGGUGACCACGAGUUACCGAGGUGCCGAAGGGAAACCGUGAAACGUGCCGCCUGGGAAGUACGGUCGCAAGGCUGAAACUCAAAGGAAUUGGCGGGGGAGCACCACAACAGGUGGAGCCUGCGGUUUAAUUGGACUCAACGCCGGGAAGCUCACCGGAUAGGACAGCAGAAUGAUUGCCGGGCUGAAGACCCUGCAUGACUAGCUGAGAGGAGGUGCAUGGCGUCAGUGACU
This 261-nucleotide ribosomal RNA is filed under the name uncultured archaeon. RNAcentral describes it as "partial 16S ribosomal RNA". It matches the Rfam family "Archaeal small subunit ribosomal RNA", at positions 748 to 1008 of the family's 1478-position model. The record is from RNAcentral.